Molecule: long non-coding RNA, 701 nt
Organism: Bos taurus (domestic cattle)
Lineage: Eukaryota; Metazoa; Chordata; Mammalia; Artiodactyla; Bovidae
Source: Ensembl
GGGCCUUGUUCACCGAAACUUGGUCUCCCCAUGUUGCUCUCUUUCUCAAAUUCUGGCUGAGUCUCCAUCUGGAGCGCGGAACCCACCAUGCUUGCUAAUUAUGCCUGGGCUUCUAAGAUCUGACCAGGGAGGCCUCAGUGUCUCCUCUCCUUCGGGAGAACGGAAGGACGCCUGCGGCCUACGUCAGCCACGCUCAAUAAAUGCUGACGUGCCCUGGUGGCAUCUGAGCCGGCAACCUUGCACUGAACCUGAACUCCUGGAACAGACUUCUUGAAGCUGGCCGAGGGCUGUCCAGAACUCCGGAACACAUUCUGAAGAGCCCGUCAGUGGUGUGUGGACCCACGGCCUGGCAGUCCCUCAUUUCCAUUCUGCUGCCACCUUGCAAGUGACCCCUCGAUGUUCCAGGUUUUCUCUUGAGAAGCAGCGUGGAACAGCAGGAAGCAAACCAAAUGAAGAUGGGGGAUGGUAACAAUGAAGACUGUGCCCCUCCCUCCCCUGGCCACUGAUGUCCACGUCCUUAUUCCCAGAGCCUGGCUUGGUCAGUCCCCUGCCUCCAGGCAUAAUAUUUCUUCCUCAGCCCCUUCCCCUAUUAUUCUGGCAACAGUUUCGCACUGGUGCCCACCCCUGGGUACCUCAGUGCCCUUGCCCAGCAUUGCCCACAUCUCUGUCCAUACUUCCUUUGAUUAAAAUCCCUUAAGCCA